UUCAUAUUAUUCAGAAUCACACAAUCCUCCCCUGUACAUGAAGAAACCUGGAAGCAGAGAAGCUAUCCAAUCUCCCCAUGUCCCUCAGCCAGUGAUCCACUGAAAAAAUACCUUGGGUUUUGCCAAUUCUUCCAGAAGCUUGGGGUUGCUCAGUCACGACAGAAGGGUUCAGAGUAUUCCCAGCAGUGGUGCACUGUGCAUGUGAGUCGUCUCACAGCCUCCUGUGAAGCUGAGGUGGCAGGAUUUUCAAGAACUGGAUAUUUUUCCCAAGUACCAUACACUUGUGUUAGCAAAUUGUGUAUUGGGUUGUUGAAGCCUAACUGUAGGCCAGUAGGUGGUGCUAGCAGGCAAAAGCUAGCUGUGGAAGUAACAGUAGGCUUUCUGCUUGAUCUCUGUUUACCAGAAGCUCUCCAGUGCCUCAGGCAAUGGGCUGGGCUAUGGAAUGCAGGAUGACCUGGGUUUAGCACUCAGUUCCGGAGUUGGGGAAUGAAGCUGGGCAGAGC
RNAcentral lists this long non-coding RNA (503 nucleotides) under Callithrix jacchus (white-tufted-ear marmoset). Its description in RNAcentral is "lncRNA (ENSCJAG00000055785.2)". The record is from RNAcentral. Lineage: Eukaryota; Metazoa; Chordata; Mammalia; Primates; Cebidae.